RNAcentral lists this ribosomal RNA (497 nucleotides) under uncultured bacterium. RNAcentral's name for it is "partial 16S ribosomal RNA". It matches the Rfam family "Bacterial small subunit ribosomal RNA", at positions 28 to 507 of the family's 1533-position model. The record is from RNAcentral.
GAUGAACGCUGGCGGCGUGCCUAAUACAUGCAAGUCGAGCGAACAGAUGAGGAGCUUGCUCCUCUGACGUUAGCGGCGGACGGGUGAGUAACACGUGGAUAACCUACCUAUAAGACUGGGAUAACUUCGGGAAACCGGAGCUAAUACCGGAUAAUAUAUUGAACCGCAUGGUUCAAUAGUGAAAGACGGUUUUGCUGUCACUUAUAGAUGGAUCCGCGCCGCAUUAGCUAGUUGGUAAGGUAACGGCUUACCAAGGCAACGAUGCGUAGCCGACCUGGGAGGGUGAUCGGCCACACUGGAACUGGGACACGGUCCAGACUCCUACGGGAGGCAGCAGUAGGGAAUCUUCCGCAAUGGGCGAAAGCCUGACGGAGCAACGCCGCGUGAGUGAUGAAGGUCUUCGGAUCGUAAAACUCUGUUAUUAGGGAAGAACAAAUGUGUAAGUAACUAUGCACGUCUUGACGGUACCUAAUCAGAAAGCCACGGCUAACUACGUG